This 465-nucleotide ribosomal RNA is filed under the name Vreelandella stevensii. RNAcentral describes it as "partial 16S ribosomal RNA". It matches the Rfam family "Bacterial small subunit ribosomal RNA", at positions 338 to 795 of the family's 1533-position model. Lineage: Bacteria; Pseudomonadati; Pseudomonadota; Gammaproteobacteria; Oceanospirillales; Halomonadaceae. The record is from RNAcentral.
CCUACGGGAGGCUGCAGUGGGGAAUAUUGGACAAUGGGGGGAACCCUGAUCCAGCCAUGCCGCGUGUGUGAAGAAGGCCCUCGGGUUGUAAAGCACUUUCAGUGAGGAAGAACGCCUGGUGGUUAAUACCCAUCAGGAAAGACAUCACUCACAGAAGAAGCACCGGCUAACUCCGUGCCAGCAGCCGCGGUAAUACGGAGGGUGCGAGCGUUAAUCGGAAUUACUGGGCGUAAAGCGCGCGUAGGUGGCUUGAUAAGCCGGUUGUGAAAGCCCCGGGCUCAACCUGGGAACGGCAUCCGGAACUGUCAAGCUAGAGUGCAGGAGACGAAGGUAGAAUUCCCGGUGUAGCGGUGAAAUGCGUAGAGAUCGGGAGGAAUACCAGUGGCGAAGGCGGCCUUCUGGACUGACACUGACACUGAGGUGCGAAAGCGUGGGUAGCAAACAGGAUUAGAUACCCCUGUAGUC